This 496-nucleotide ribosomal RNA is filed under the name uncultured bacterium. Its description in RNAcentral is "partial 16S ribosomal RNA". It matches the Rfam family "Bacterial small subunit ribosomal RNA", at positions 28 to 506 of the family's 1533-position model. The record is from RNAcentral.
GAUGAACGCUGGCGGCGUGCCUAAUACAUGCAAGUCGAGCGAACAGACGAGGAGCUUGCUCCUCUGACGUUAGCGGCGGACGGGUGAGUAACACGUGGAUAACCUACCUAUAAGACUGGGAUAACUUCGGGAAACCGGAGCUAAUACCGGAUAAUAUAUUGAACCGCAUGGUUCAAUAGUGAAAGACGGUUUUGCUGUCACUUAUAGAUGGAUCCGCGCCGCAUUAGCUAGUUGGUAAGGUAACGGCUUACCAAGGCGACGAUGCGUAGCCGACCUGGGAGGGGAAUAGGCCAAACGGGAAAUGGGAACGGGUCCAAACCCCUAGGGGAGGCAGGAGGAGGGAAAUUUCACAAAUGGGGGAAAGCCUGUCCGAGCAACGCCGGGGGAGGGAUGAAGGUCUUCGGAUCGUAAAACCUUGUUAUUAGGGAAAAACAAAUGUGGAAAUUACCAUGGACCUUUUGACUGUACCUAAUAAGAAAGCCCCGGCUAACUACGU